GACGAACGCUGGCGGCGUGCCUAAUACAUGCAAGUCGAACGGCUUUUCUAUGGAAAGCUUGCUUCCACUGAGAAGAUAGUGGCGAACGGGUGAGUAACACGUGGGUAACCUGCCCAUAAGAGGGGGAUAACAUCCGGAAACGGGUGCUAAUACCGCAUAGUUUUCUUGAUCGCAUGAUCGGGAAAGGAAAGACGGCCUUUGUGCUGUCGCUUAUGGAUGGACCCGCGGCGUAUUAGUUAGUUGGUGAGGUAACGGCUCACCAAGACGAUGAUACGUAGCCGACCUGAGAGGGUGAUCGGCCACAUUGGGACUGAGACACGGCCCAAACUCCUACGGGAGGCAGCAGUAGGGAAUCUUCCGCAAUGGACGAAAGUCUGACGGAGCAACGCCGCGUGAGUGAAGAAGGUUUUCGGAUCGUAAAACUCUGUUGUCAGAGAAGAACAAGUUGGAGAGUAACUGCUCCAGCCUUGACGGUAUCUGACCAGAAAGCCACGGCUAACUACGUG
RNAcentral lists this ribosomal RNA (506 nucleotides) under uncultured bacterium. RNAcentral describes it as "bacterial SSU rRNA". It matches the Rfam family "Bacterial small subunit ribosomal RNA", at positions 28 to 507 of the family's 1533-position model. The record is from RNAcentral.